Molecule: long non-coding RNA, 638 nt
Filed under: Pogona vitticeps (central bearded dragon)
Lineage: Eukaryota; Metazoa; Chordata; Lepidosauria; Squamata; Agamidae
Description: lncRNA (ENSPVIG00000008272.1)
Source: RNAcentral
GAUACCACUUAACCUUGAUUGAUGUGCAUAAAGAUUGUAUUUCUAGCAAGAUGUAUUUCUAUGUCAAUUAUGGCUUUUCCUCUUUUUAUUUUUGUCUACUGUCAGAUAAUUCAAACAGCCCUUCACUAAGAAGAAAGAAGGAAAGAAAGAACAAGAUGCAUAAUUAAGAAUAUAUAAAAGAAGCUGUAAUUAGUGUGCAUAAGAUGUAUCCAUGAUGCUCUUCAGCUAGGACCAUGUCGUGGCUCAUCCUGCUGAAACUUCUGAUCCACAAAGCCAAUAUUUCCUGGAUCAUGAUGACAGACUGCAAAAGCUGUUGUAUGUGUGCUGGGUACAUGAUGCAAGGAGAACAAAUCUAUCCAUUCUAAAGGAAAUCAGCCCUGAGUGCUCACUGGAAGGACAGAUCCUGAAGCUGAGGUUCCAAUACUUUGGCCAUCUCAUGAGAAGAGAAGACUCCCUGGAAAAGAUGCUGAUGUUAGGAAAGUGUAAAGGCAGGAGGAGAAGGGGAUGACAGAGGAUGAGAUGGUUGGACAGUGUCAUCGAAGCGACCAACAUGAAUUUGACCCAACUCCGGGAGGCAAUGGAAGACAGGAGGGCCUGGCGUGCUCUGGUCCAUGGGGCCAUGAAGAGUUGGACACGAC